CUCGGUACAACAGGUGUGUUUACAGUCAAACCUAGAGUUGUGACUGUCCUCGGUGCAACAGGUGUGUUUACAGUCAAACCUAGAGUUGUGACUGUCCUCGGUACAACAGGUGUGUUUACAGUCAAACCUAGAGUCGUGACUGUCCUCGGUACAACAGGUGUGUUUACAGUCAAACCUAGAGUCGUGACUGUCC
Oncorhynchus masou masou (cherry salmon) is the source of this 193-nucleotide long non-coding RNA. RefSeq lists it as uncharacterized. The record is from RefSeq and is a predicted model, not a curated record. The transcript has 3 exons. Lineage: Eukaryota; Metazoa; Chordata; Actinopteri; Salmoniformes; Salmonidae.